AGGAAUUUAGCUCAGUGGUUCUGGCAUCUGCCUCUAAAGCACAAGGUCCUGAGUUCGAUCCCCAGUACCUA
RNAcentral lists this transfer RNA (71 nucleotides) under Heterocephalus glaber (naked mole-rat). It matches the Rfam family "tRNA". From Rfam's summary of the family: Transfer RNA (tRNA) molecules are approximately 80 nucleotides in length. Their secondary structure includes four short double-helical elements and three loops (D, anti-codon, and T loops). Further hydrogen bonds mediate the characteristic L-shaped molecular structure. tRNAs have two regions of fundamental functional importance: the anti-codon, which is responsible for specific mRNA codon recognition, and the 3' end, to which the tRNAs corresponding amino acid is attached (by aminoacyl-tRNA synthetases). tRNAs cope with the degeneracy of the genetic code in two manners: having more than one tRNA (with a specific anti-codon) for a particular amino acid; and 'wobble' base-pairing, i.e. permitting non-standard base-pairing at the 3rd anti-codon position. Lineage: Eukaryota; Metazoa; Chordata; Mammalia; Rodentia; Bathyergidae. The record is from Rfam by way of RNAcentral.